UAUCUCCUGCGACGUUUGAGUUGUGCUGGGUGUUCCUGAACCUGUAUUAACCCAGGGAACUAAUUCUGACACUGGAUGCGCAUGCCCAUUUAAUAUGGGAAGCCCGAUAUGUCAAGCUUGUUCCCACUUGAACCAUCGGUUCAAGGACGAAAGCACAUUACGGCGUAUAGGCGGGAGAUAC
This 181-nucleotide non-coding RNA is filed under the name Methylococcaceae bacterium. Its description in RNAcentral is "6S RNA". It matches the Rfam family "6S / SsrS RNA". Rfam says of the family: E. coli 6S RNA was the first non coding RNA to be sequenced, but its function was unknown until recently. It consists of 184 nucleotides that fold into an extended hairpin structure with a large single-stranded internal bulge. The record is from RNAcentral. Lineage: Bacteria; Pseudomonadati; Pseudomonadota; Gammaproteobacteria; Methylococcales; Methylococcaceae.